CCUACGGGUGGCAGCAGUGGGGAAUAUUGGGCAAUGGGCGCAAGCCUGACCCAGCAACGCCGCGUGAAGGAAGAAGGCUUUCGGGUUGUAAACUUCUUUUCUUAGGGACGAAGAAAGUGACGGUCCCUCAGGAAUACGCCACGGCUAACUACGUGCCAGCGGCCGCUGUAAUACGGAGGUGGCAAGCGUUAUCCGGAUUCAUUGGGUGUAAAGGGUGUGUAGGCGGGAAAGCAAGUCAGAUGGGAAAACUCAGGGCUCAACCCUGAGCCUGCAUUUGAAACUGUUUGUCUUGAGUGCGGGAGAGGCAAUCGGAAUUCCGGGUGUAGCGGUGAAAUGCGUAGAUAUACGGAGGAACACCAGUGGCGAAGGCGGAUUGCUGGACAGUAACUGACGCUGAGGCGCGAAAGCGUGGGGAGCAAACAGGAUUAGAUACCCGAGUAGUC
This 443-nucleotide ribosomal RNA is filed under the name uncultured bacterium. RNAcentral's name for it is "partial 16S ribosomal RNA". It matches the Rfam family "Bacterial small subunit ribosomal RNA", at positions 338 to 795 of the family's 1533-position model. The record is from RNAcentral.